This 428-nucleotide ribosomal RNA is filed under the name uncultured bacterium. RNAcentral's name for it is "bacterial SSU rRNA". It matches the Rfam family "Bacterial small subunit ribosomal RNA", at positions 355 to 775 of the family's 1533-position model. The record is from RNAcentral.
UGGGGAAUAUUGGACAAUGGGGGCAACCCUGAUCCAGCAAUGCCGCGUGUGUGAAGAAGGCCUUCGGGUUGUAAAGCACUUUUAUCGGGAACGAAACGUGUCAGGUGAAUACCCUGGCAAACUGACGGUACCCGAGGAAUAAGCACCGGCUAACUUCGUGCCAGCAGCCGCGGUAAUACGAAGGGUGCAAGCGUUACUCGGAAUUACUGGGCGUAAAGGGUGCGUAGGUGGUUUUUUAAGUCCGUUGUGAAAUCCCUGGGCUCAACCUGGGAAUGGCAGUGGAUACUGGAAAGCUAGAGUGCGGUAGAGGGUAGUGGAAUUCCCGGUGUAGCAGUGAAAUGCGUAGAGAUCGGGAGGAACACCAGUGGCGAAGGCGGCUACCUGGACCAGCACUGACACUGAAGCACGAAAGCGUGGGGAGCAAACAG